This 253-nucleotide ribosomal RNA is filed under the name uncultured bacterium. RNAcentral describes it as "partial 16S ribosomal RNA". It matches the Rfam family "Bacterial small subunit ribosomal RNA", at positions 524 to 776 of the family's 1533-position model. The record is from RNAcentral.
UACAGAGGGUGCAAGCGUUAAUCGGAAUUACUGGGCGUAAAGCGAGCGUAGUCGGUUAUUUAAGUCGGGUGUGAAAGCCCCGGGCUCAACCUGGGAAUUGCAUUCGAUACUGGAUAGCUAGAGUUCGGCAGAGGGAAGCGGAAUUUCCGGUGUAGCGGUGAAAUGCGUAGAUAUCGGAAGGAACAUCAGUGGCGAAAGCGGCUCCCUGGACCAGAACUGACGAUCAGGCUCGAAAGCGUGGGGAGCGAACAGG